Molecule: long non-coding RNA, 291 nt
Filed under: Nicotiana benthamiana
Lineage: Eukaryota; Viridiplantae; Streptophyta; Magnoliopsida; Solanales; Solanaceae
Description: long non-coding RNA (NBEN_LNC008543)
Source: RNAcentral
GAAAUUGAUAAACUAGGAAUCAAGUAGAUUAAUAUAUCUUAUAUUCAAAGAACUUUGAUUUUAAAUUCAUGAUGGGCUAACAGGUGUUGAAUGAAUGCAAAUCAUUGGUCAAAGAUUUUCUAAUCUCGUUGGCUUAGAGAUUGAAUUCUCAAUUCUACUUAUUUACACAUCAUGAGAAAGUAAAUAUGUUCUUACAGUUUCGCUGAAAACUGUUCUUAACUAAAGCAACGGUGAUUUCAGUUGUACUAGUAAAGGAAGAUUUCCAGUUCAAAUAUCAUGCUCGGAUACCAN